CAGUAGCCGCGGUAAUACGUAGGUGGCAAGCGUUAUCCGGAAUGAUUGGGCGUAAAGCGUCUGUAGGUGGCUUUUCAAGUCCGCCGUCAAAUCCCAGGGCUCAACCCUGGACAGGCGGUGGAAACUACCAAGCUGGAGUACGGUAGGGGCAGAGGGAAUUUCCAGUGGAGCGGUGAAAUGCGUUGAGAUCGAAAAGAACACCAACAGCGAAAGCACUCUGCUGGGACGACACUGACACUAAGAGACGAAAGCUAGGGGAGCAAAUGGGAUUAGAUACCCCAGUAGUCCCUGUCUCUUAUAC
This 301-nucleotide ribosomal RNA is filed under the name uncultured bacterium. RNAcentral's name for it is "partial 16S ribosomal RNA". It matches the Rfam family "Bacterial small subunit ribosomal RNA", at positions 509 to 807 of the family's 1533-position model. The record is from RNAcentral.